Molecule: non-coding RNA, 115 nt
Organism: Capsicum annuum
Lineage: Eukaryota; Viridiplantae; Streptophyta; Magnoliopsida; Solanales; Solanaceae
Source: Rfam
AGCCACGCAAUGAGCACAGAGCAAACUAUUCUGCCCUUUACUAAAGAAUGUUGUGUACUCAUUGCAGAAAGUGGCAUAUGCUGAUAUUUGGAGUGCUAGUUGCAGAAAGUGGCAU